Non-coding RNA from Pelobates cultripes (western spadefoot toad), 249 nucleotides. NCBI's taxonomy places the organism in Eukaryota, Metazoa, Chordata, Amphibia, Anura, Pelobatidae. The record is from the annotation of a GenBank genome assembly.
GCACAAGGCCUUUGAAAGUGUCCUAUCGUAUCUGGCGCCAAGACAUUAGCAAUAAAACCUUAAAAUCCUGCAAGUUACGACUUGGGGCCUCCAUGGAUGGAAUUUGUUGUUCCAGCACAUCCCACUGAUGCUCAGUGGUAUUAAGAUCUAGUUGGGGCCCAAGACAACACCAUGAAAUCUUUGUCGUGUUCCUUAAAACAAUCCUGAACAUUUUUUGCAGUGUGGUGGGCUGCAUUAUCCUGUUGCAAG